CCAGGUCCCCACCACCCAGUAGAGGGCCUGCCACAUAAUGAGAAGAGCGACUUCCAGAGGAAGGAAGAACUUACUCAAGAUCAACGGUGGGUCCUAACAUAGUGUCUUCCAGAGAUGCAGCCGCCCCCAAAACCUCCCCUUCUCCUGCCUGCAUCCCUAGAGAAGCAGGAGCCACAGGAACCACCCCAAAAGGCCAGUGGACAGGAGUCACAAAGGUGGGCCUUGGAGGAUUGAAAUCAAAGCAACCAACCAAGGACUAACAUGAAUCCUCAGAAGUCAUU
Molecule: long non-coding RNA, 281 nt
Organism: Prionailurus viverrinus (fishing cat)
Lineage: Eukaryota; Metazoa; Chordata; Mammalia; Carnivora; Felidae
Exons: 3
Source: RefSeq, a predicted model, not a curated record